RNAcentral lists this transfer RNA (69 nucleotides) under Gymnothorax nudivomer (starry moray). RNAcentral's name for it is "tRNA-Trp". It matches the Rfam family "tRNA". From Rfam's summary of the family: Transfer RNA (tRNA) molecules are approximately 80 nucleotides in length. Their secondary structure includes four short double-helical elements and three loops (D, anti-codon, and T loops). The record is from RNAcentral. Lineage: Eukaryota; Metazoa; Chordata; Actinopteri; Anguilliformes; Muraenidae.
AGAGACUUAGGAUAAUUAGACCGAAGGCCUUCAAAGCCUUAAGCGGGAGUGAAACCCUCCCAGUCCCUG